Molecule: microRNA, 24 nt
Filed under: Glycine max (soybean)
Lineage: Eukaryota; Viridiplantae; Streptophyta; Magnoliopsida; Fabales; Fabaceae
Description: gma-miR10415
Source: miRBase by way of RNAcentral
AUCUUAGAAUGUGAGUUUGGAUCU